Long non-coding RNA from Phalaenopsis equestris, 356 nucleotides. RefSeq lists it as uncharacterized. The transcript is spliced from 2 exons. The record is from RefSeq and is a predicted model, not a curated record. Lineage: Eukaryota; Viridiplantae; Streptophyta; Magnoliopsida; Asparagales; Orchidaceae.
UGCUGCAGUACUCAACAGACGAACUAGUCAAAGAGGUCCAGAAUUCCGUGGAAGAGUUCAAGCGCCAUAAUCAAGAGUAUGAUGAAGAACGUGUCAGACAGCAGGUGCAGGAUGUCCUUGAGGGAGCGAAAGUUCUUGAAUGGUUGAGAGAGAACUCUGAUAUCCAGUAUGCUUUCAGAUGAGAGCAAAUCAGAGCGUCUCUGUGAAGGUCACCGUAUGUAGAUUUUAAUUCUCCCUUCACUGGACUUUUGGUGGUGAUUUUGGUUCUUUUCCCAUUUAGAUUGCCAUGAAUGGUGAUCUUCUGUUUAUUAUGUGUUCUGGCAGUAAUUUAUUAUAUUAUACAAUUUAUCCCCUUA